GACCCUUGGGCUGAGAGCGUGGAUACUUCGGGGGCCACCUGGAGCUCGACUGGCCGCCCGAUCCACCGCCCUGCCUUUUCUUGCUUUUGUCCUUGUCGUACAACUCACGGUCCUCACGCUCGCAAGCGUUCCCGUGCUCGACCCAUAGGGCGCGAUCUAGUGCUGCCGCCAGUGUAGGGAACUUGAAGGCAUGCACCAACUUGAACACUCCGGGCCGAAGCCCUCGAACAAAACAAUCCGCCCGGUCCUGCUCGGUCGUCGCCACGUCCGGGACGCAGCUCAGGAGAUGGGUGAACUCCCGCUCGUACUCCCGAACCGUGCGAUUGCCUUGCUUGAGCUUGCGAAAGUCUUCCCGCAUCCUUCUCUUGUCGCUGUCGGGGAAGUACUCGGCGAACAUCAGCUUGCGGAACUCCGCCCAAUCAAUCGGGGGAAGCUCCGGGGAUCGGUCCUGCUUGACUCUCCUCCACCAAGUCCUGGCCCGCUUCUCGAAGCAAUGCGCGGCCAAGUUCACCUUGUCCCUCUCCAAGGUGAAAAUGUCCUCAAAUAGAGUCUCCAUAGCUGCCAGCCAAGACUCCACUGCAGCUGGAUCCACCACCUCUCCGUCGAAAGUAGGCGGGCGAAACUUCGUGAAUCUCGUGAGCGCCACAUAGCCACGCUCACGCUCCGCCUCCUCAGCCACCAUCGCGGGGGUAGGAGAACUCGAACUAGCCGGAGGAAUAUCCACCGGUGGGGGUUGCGCCGCCACCGGAACCGAAACGCCACCCGCACCCUCGGCCGCAUCAGGGACACGCGCCGCAGGCGCAGGCGGACCGCGGUCUAGAUCCGCUGCCGCAGCCGCCGCCGCAGCCUGCUGCUCCAACAGCUCCUGAAUCCUAUCGAACCGUCCUGUGAGCGUCGCGACUUGCGCUCGCAACUCCUGCACCUCAGUAGGCCCAGCUGGCACUGGCGCCACUGGAGGCACGGCUGGCCCGGGCACCUCUUGAGGUGGUGCCGGAGCGGUCCUACGCACGUAGCGUCUCUUUGGUGCCAUAGCUCCUGAAACGCAAACAGUUGGUUAAUUACUUAACCCAACAACAUCGUCGUAAACACGAAACAUAACGGUUAAAGAACAUCAAUCAGGCGGUAAGCUUGCAAGUGUCUUAAUUCUCGACUCUCGGCAUCGUGUUGUCGGCCGCCAACACAAUCACCUUAAGCCAAAAAUUAAUACCACUUGAAUCAUCUCUAGCCAUAACUAGAGUAACAACACCAACUCCAAACCCAAUCAAUUAGCUUCCGCCGCGUCAUAGGUUCACGUCGCACUCACGCACCUAUAACCUUAGGGUUAACCAACCUAGAGUCUCCUAGGUCAUCCUAGACUCUCUCUUUUGCUUGCUCUUAACUCGCUCUGAUACCACUUAACUGUCACGCCCCAACCGCGCGGCCCGAAAACGGUACCAAUUUGGUCCGGUUCGAGGGCGGCGGCGCGACCGCCGAACGGACGGAGUUUCCCCUGUCCGCCCAAGGCUAAGCAACAGAUUGUGUACAACAAGUCCCCAGGAAUACAACUUGAAUACAUACACAAUCAAACAACGAUAAACGAGAGCACAAACAGUGCUACAACCAACUAGAGCAAGCGAUACAAGUAAAACCAUACAAGUAUACAAAAGAGAGAAACUUAGCUAAUUGAGACAUCAUUGAAACGUUUAAACCUCUUUUAACAUCAUUUAAACUUUAAACUUUGAUACAACUUGCAUUCUUUAUCCAAAAUGAAUAUACAUCAUAAGCUCUCCAAAACCUCACCCUAUACAACAUCUACUCUCAAAAUGUAUAACCAAAAGUACAGGGUAGAGCUAAUGCAAGUAGGGAAGGUAAAGCUAUCAACCAACUGCUAGGGCGCUAUGCCCUUGCCGCGAUCCAUCGACGAAGGCCCGCUGUCCUGUGUACCUGUACCCCCAAAGCCACACGGGGGUGAGAACUACGAAUAGUUCCCAGUGGGUUCGGCCGCCGACUCCGCCGAUCUACCCACUAGGUCUCAAGUAGGCAUAGAGAGAUAUAUAUGCAAUAUAUAUAUAAAACUAAGCUGAACGGAAAGCGGGUAUGUAAACAACUAUAUCAAGCUAUGCCUCAAUCUGGAAUCAUGAAUGCAUGAACAAUAAACAAAGCUGGGUAAGUAAGCAACUAUCAACAUCUACAACAGCUAUCAUAGUAACUAUAAAACAUGCUACUAGGUAAGCAAGUAAGCUGAUAUGAACAAUGAAUAGCUACUAUGAACAUCAAUCAUGGGUAAGACUCAAUGGGUAACCCAAUCCUCGAGUGAACGCAAGGUUCACAAGCAAGGCUCACAUAUCAAUCUCCGAGGGAUGCCUAGCUGGUCGAUCCCCGAGUAUGCCUGCGGAUAACAAGCGGCUAUCCGAGCAGCGAGCAGGGCUGCCUCUCUAGUGACCAAACUCCGGAGCGCACAACUUGAGGGGAGCGACCCCACCAAACGCAGACAGGCAAUGUGAGCAAGAUCAUCUCACGAGCAACAACAAUAACCCUUUGAGGGUAAUAUCAUCAUGAAAGCAAUGUAUACUUGUACCCAAUCUCAUAGUGUCUCGACUACACUAAAGUUCUCAUAUCAAGGUAAUCAACAAUCAUAUGCCACUCAUCAUAGUUUUCUAACUAGGUGCCACUCAUCAAUUUUGACUCAUUAUCAACACUAGUUUCAUCAUACUAGUUCUUUAGCAACAUAAGCAUUGAUCCUCUCAUAUAGGGUUAAAUCUCAUCAUAUAGUUUUCAUCAUACAACCAUCAUGCAUACUAGAUCAUGAACCAACCAAGCAAAAUAUAUUGAGCUACUAGCAUGCAAGUAUAAGCAUCAAUAAUCAUUUUCUAACCCUAUAUGUUUAUACACAAUAUGCAAAUAGAUCAAUUUAAACUUAGACAUAGAAGGUGGCCCGAUGACUUCGGUAUGGCACUCCCCCACCUUUGGCGAUGCCAAAAACACUCCGAGACGCGUUCUCGUGUUAGUCUUGUCGCCGCUUAAUUUUCGUUGGGUUAGCUUUAACCCUUUAGCACAUCAAAUGGCGAUAUCUUCACGCUCGAUCCUCGAAUCGACGAACCGUCUUCGCCUACGCGUUUAUAAGCAUGGAAAUUAGGUUUCUAACCCCUCAAAAGAGAUCAAACCCUUAUAUUUCCAAAAAUCCCAAAUCUAACCCUAGGUGUAGCAACAAUAGAGAAAUCAUGGUUUCAAGCUCCAAAUUUGGGAUUGAACCUUCUCUUAAGCUCCAAUGGUUUACAUUUGAACCAUCCUUAAGCAACAAAACCCUUUUUAAAACCUAGGUUUAGCAAUAAUGAGGAAAACCAUGGGUGCUAGCCUCAUUGUGAGCUAGAUCCAUCAUCUCUAAACUCAUUAGGUUCCAUUUGAACCAAUUAAAGCAACAAAAACCUCCCAAACCCUAGAAAUCCAAAACUAGGGUUAGAGCUUACCUCAAGGGUUUGCUCCAAAGCAAGCCCUAGCUUGAAAACGUGGAGGAGGAGAGCUUCUUGAUCUUUUCCUCCCUUUCUCUCCUUCUCUUCUUCUUCUUUCUUCCUCUCUUCUUCUUCUCCUUCUUUUCUCCUUCACCCGGUUAGAGAGAGAGAGAGAGCUAGAGAGAGAGAAAGGCUGUGGGAGUGAGAGAGAAGAGAGCUGAGUGUGAGAGGAAUAAGUCCUCUAUUGUAACAAAAUGCUAAAAAGCUCUCCUUUUAUCAGAUUUUGCAACUUAACCCGCUGCCUGCGCGCCCUUGUACCGGUACACGGGACCUUGUACCGGUACAAGGCCCUAAACCGAGCGCAAACCGAGCGUCGGGUUUCUCUGUUUCGCAGAGCUUGUACCGGUACAAGCCAGCCUUGUACCGGUACAGCGCCUGAAGCCUUCGAACCCGAGAGCUACGCAGCCUGGCUGCGAUGGUUGUACCGGUACAACCAUCACCCUUGUACCGGUACAGAAGCUCCAGAAUGCUGUUUUUCGAUCUGCUUCGAUUCCUUUUCGCGUCCAACAACGCUAAAGCUAUUCCAACACUUUUGGAACUCAUUUUUACUCUUCCUAACAUGUCGAAAUACCGAAUGGAACUUGUCCAAGCAUCCGAUUGCUCACUUUGGUCCAUUUGGCCAAAGUUAGCCAAUAUCGUCGAAUUUCGAUAUCUUACAUUCUCCACCCCUUAAAAGGAGUUUCGUCCUCGAAACAACUCAACUCUUAACUUGAACUUAAACGCUUACCUCAAUCCUCGAACAGGUGAGGAUGGUUCGCUUUCAUCUGAUCCUCAAGCUCCCAAGUGGCUUCACGAUCAUCGUGAUUGCUCCACCGAACUUUAACAUAGGGAAUUUCUCGAUUCCUUAACUUACGCACCUCUCGAGCCAAAAUCUCUACCGGAAACUCUUCAUAGCUCAAAUCGUCUUGAAGCUCCGGUGGCUCAUAUAGCAUGGCAUGCUCGGGGUCGUGAAUAUACUUGCGAAGGUUGGAGACGUGGAACACAUUGUGCACACCCGCAAGCUUCGGGGGCAAUGCAAGUCGAUACGCCACCGUCCCAACUCGCUCCAAGAUCUCGUAGGGCCCGAUAUAACGAGGACUUAGCUUUCCUCGUACCCCAAACCUUUUCACGCCUCGCAUCGGUGAAACCUUUAAGAAUACGCGGUCACCCACCGCGAACUCCAAAUCUCGCCGGCGCCUAUCCGCAUAGCUUUGCUGUCUCGACUGCGCCGUGAGCAAUCUUUUGCGAGCAAGGCGGACUUUCUCCUCCGCUUCUCGCAACACAUCCGGGCCGAACUCCGUACGCUCACCUACAUCACUCCAAUGUAUAGGAGAUCGGCAUACCCGUCCAUAGAGGGCCUCGAACGGUGCCAUUCCCACACUAGUAUGAUAACUAUUGUUGUAGGCGAACUCGGCCAUCGGUAGGUGAUCACACCAAUUUCCUUUAUAGUCAAUGACACACGCUCGCAACAUAUCCUCCAGAGUUUGAAUAGUCCUCUCUGUUUGCCCAUCAGUCUGAGGAUGAAACGCUGAGCUAAAAUCGAGCCGUGUGCCAAGGGCUUCCUGCAGGCUCUUCCAGAAAUGCGAAGUGAACCGGGGGUCACGAUCCGACACGAUCGAUUUCGGCACCCCAUGCAGUCUCACUAUCUCGUCAAGGUACACCUGCGCUAACUUGUCACCCGACCACGUGGUGUGAAUCGGCAAGAAAUGAGCCGACUUCGUCAAUCGGUCCACAAUUACCCAAAUUGCAUCGUGGCCGCCCUUUGAGCGGGGUAAGCCGACCACGAAGUCCAUCGAGAUAUCCUCCCAUUUCCAAACGGGGAUUGGUAGACUUUGAAGCUUUCCCGCUGGGAAUCGAUGCUCGGCCUUCACCUGUUGGCAGGCUAGGCACUUUGCCACAAAGCGUCCAAUGUCGCCUUUCAUUCCCGGCCACCAAUAGUGCAUUUUUAGGCCUUGAUACAUCUUGGUGCCGCCCGGGUGGCCAGCAUACGGGGACCAAUGCGACUCCUGUAAUAUAAGCUUGCGAAGCUCUUCAUCAGCGGGUACACACCUACGGUUCCGAAACCGAAGCGUACCAUCGGCGUCAACAUUGAACUCGCCACCAUGACCUUCCUCGAUGUUUCGCCGCACCUUUUGGAGUUCUGGGUCCGCAAGUUGCAGAUCUUUAAUCCUCUCCAACAAGGUCGGUUGGACAACGAGUGCCAUUAACUGAGUCGGGACCUCGGGAGCAACCACUUCUAGGUCCAAUCGCUCCAUAUCCAACCCUAGGGGUUUCUGCCGGGUAACAUCGAAAGCAAGGUUCUUUACCGUCUUCCUACUCAGCGCAUCAGCGACCACAUUGGCUUUCCCGGGGUGGUAAAGGAUAUCAACAUCAUAAUCCUUAAGCAAUUCCAACCACCGCCGCUGUCGCAUAUUGAGCUCUUUCUGUGUGAACAGAUACUUCAAGCUUUUAUGGUCGGUGUAGAUCUCGCAAUGAGCACCAUAUAGAUAAUGUCUCCAAAGCUUCAAGGCAAAGAUCACCGCCGCCAACUCUAGAUCAUGAAUGGGGUAGUUCUUUUCAUAGCCUUUCAACUGACGGGAUGCAUAAGCAAUAACCUUCCCGCCCUGCAUCAGCACACACCCCAAGCCCAAAUAAGAAGCAUCACUGUAGACGACAUAGUCCUGUCCUUGCACCGGUAAAGCGAGUACCGGAGUCGAAGUUAACCUUUGCUUCAACUCUUUAAAGCUCCGGUCACACUCGUCGCUCCAAACAAACUUGAUGCCUUUUUGGGUCAAACGGGUAAGUGGAGUCACAAUCUUCGAGAACCCCUCCACAAACCGUCGAUAAUAACCGGCUAGGCCCACAAAGCUACGGACCUCGGUAACGUUCGUCGGGCGCGGCCAAUUUUCAAUAGCCUCAACUUUCCUCGGGUCAACAGAAACUCCACCCUCGGAAAUAACAUGCCCGAGAAACGCAACUUCCCUAAGCCAAAAGUCGCACUUCCUCAGCUUUGCGUACAACUUCUUCUCCCGAAGGAUCUGUAGUACCUUGCGCAAAUGCUCCGCGUGCUCCUCGUCGCUACGCGAAUACNAAUCGGUCUCCUGGUCUGGCGGCAUACCCGACAACUCCGCGGGAAACACAUCGGGGAACUCCCGCACAACCGCCAACUCCUCAAGGGUCGGAACCACUCGAUCAAUCUCCACCACGGUCGCCAAAUAGGCUGAGCAACCGCUGUUCACCAGCUUCCUCGCUCUAGUCGCCGAUACUGUUGCGGCGAAGUACGAGCUCUUACAAGCUCGAUAGGUGAACUCUUCUUGUCCCGGCUCCCGAAAUGUGAUAACUCGAGUCGGGCAAUCGAUCGAUACAUAGUACUUCGAGAGUCAAUCCAUGCCCAAUAUGACAUCGAACUCUUUCAGCUUCUUGAGCACCAACAAGUCGAUUGGCAUAACCCAGUCAUUCACUUGCACUGGACAUGCCAAACAUCGCUUCCUAACCAGAAAGGAUCGCCCGGGACCCUCAACAUGCCAAACGUGCUCCCCAAGACCAUACUCGAUAUCAUGCGCUCGUGCAAAUGAUCGACUAAUGAACGAAUGUGAAGCGCCUGUAUCAAAUAAAGCUCAAGCUCGAACAUCUUUAAUCAAAAUUAUACCUGCCACAACAUUGCGCUCGCCGGCCUCUGAAGGCUCCUCAAUGUGAACGGGUGCGGCAUACAUCCUCCCGCUCGGCGCUGAUCGUGCAGGCUCUUGUUGGCGUGGCGCUGCCGCUCGUCCAGUAGAUGCUGCAGGAGGGGGCAGAGCAUAGCGAGCUGGAACCGCCGGGGCCGAUGCAGUGGACAUCGCGGGCGAAGCUCCUCCCUGAGGACAGUCGCGGAUCUGAUGUCCCGCUUGCUCGCACUUGAAGCAUCUCCCUCGGCGAUGAUCACAUGCACCCGGUCGGUGGUCACCGCCGCAGAAAACGCACCGCUCAGCACCUCGACCCUUGGGCUGUGAGCGUGGAUACUUCGGGGGCCUCCUGGAGUUCUACUGGCCGCCCGAUCCACCGCCCUGUCUUUUCUUGCCCUUGUCCUUAUCCUUGUCGAGCGCUUCACGGUCCUCACGCUCGCAAGCGUUCCCGUGCUCGACCCAUAGCGCGCGAUCUAAUGCUCCCGCCAAAGUGUGGAACUUGAAGGCAUGCACCAACUUGAACACUCCGGGCCGAAGCCCUCGAACAAAGCAAUCUGCCCGAUCCUGCUCUGUCGUCGCCACGUCCGGGACACAACUCAGGAGAUGGGUGAACUCCCGCUCGUACUCCCGAACUGUGCGAUUGCCUUGCUUGAGCUUGCGAAAGUCUUCCCGCAUCCUUCUCUUAUCGCUGUCGGGGAAGUACUCGGCGAACAUCAGCUUGCGGAACUCCGCCCAAUCAAUCGGGGGAAGCUCCGGGGAUCGGUCCUGCUUGACUCUCCUCCACCAAGUCCUGGCCCGCUUCUCGAAGCAAUGCGCGGCCAAGUUCACCUUGUCCCUCUCCAAGGUGAAAAUGUCCUCAAAAAGAGUCUCCAUAGCAGUCAGCCAAGACUCCACCGUCGCUGGAUCCACCACCUCUCCGUCGAAAGUAGGCGGACGAAACUUCGUGAAUCUCGUGAGCGCCACAUAGCCACGCUCACGCUCCGCCUCCUCAGCCGCUGCCGCGGGGGUAGGAGAACUCGAACUAGCCGGAGGAAUAUCCACCGGUGGGGGUUGCGCCGCCACCGGAACCGAAACGCCACCCACACCCUCGGCCGCAUCAGGGGCGCGUGCCGAAGGCGCAGGCGGACCGCGGCCUGGAUCCGCUGCCGCAGCCUGCUGUUCCAGCAGCUCCUGAAUCCUAUCGAACCGUCCUGUGAGCGUCGCAACCUGCGCUCGCAACUCCUGCACCUCAGUAGGCCCAGCUGGCACUGGCGCCACUGGAGGCACGGCUGGCCCGGGCACCUCUCGAGGUGGUGCCGGAGCGGUCCUACGCACGUAGCGUCUCUUUGGUGCCAUAGCUCCUGAAACGCAAACAGUUGGUUAAUUACUUAACUCAACAACAUCGUCGUAAACACGAAACAUAAUGGUUAAAGAACAUCAAUCAGGCGGUAAGCUUGCAAGUGUCUUAAUUCUCGACUCUCGGCAUCGUGUUGUCGGCCGCCAACACAAUCACCCUAAGCCAAAAAUUAAUACCACUUGGAUCAUCUCUAGCCAUAACUAGAGUACAACACCAACUUCAAACCCAAUCAAUUAGCUUCCGCCGCGUCAUAGGUUCACGUCGCACUCACGCACCUAUAACCUUAGGGUUAACCAACCUAGAGUCUCCUAGGUCAUCCUAGACUCUCUCUUUUGCUUGCUCUUAACUCGCUCUGAUACCACCAACUGUCACGCCCCAGACCGCACCACCCGAAAACGGUACCAAUUUGGUCCGAUUCGAGGGCGGCGUGCGCGACCGCCGAACGGACAGAGUCUCCCCUGUCCGCCCAAGGCUAAGCAAUGGAUUGUGUACAACAAGUCCCCAGGAAAAACAACUUGCAUUCAUACACAAUCAACAACGAAGCGAAAGCACAAACAGUGCUAUAACCAAUUAGAGCAAGCGAUACAAGUAAAAUCAUACAAGUAUACAAAAGAGAGAAACUUAACUAUUUAAACAUAUUUGAAACAUUAAACCUCUUUCGAUAUCAUUUAAACUUUAAACAUUUAAUACAACUUGCAUUCUUUUUCCCAAAAUGAAAAUACAUCAUAUGCUCUCCAAAACCUCACCCUAUACAUCAUCUACUCUCAAAGCAUAACCAAAAGUACAGGGUAUAGAGCUAAUGCAAGUAGGUAAAGUAAGCUAUCUACCAAAAGCUAGGGCGCUAUGCCCUUACCACGAUCCAUCGAUGAAGGCCCGCUGACCUGUGUACCUGUACCCCCAAAACCACACGGGGGUGAGAACUACGAAUAGUUCCCAGUGGGUUCGGCCGCCGACUCCACCGAUCUACCCACUAGGUCUCAAGCAGGCAUAGAGAGAUAUAUAUAUAUGCAAUAUAUAUAAAACGGAGCUAAACUGAAAGCGGUAUGUAAACAACUAUAUCAAGCUAUGCCUCAAUCUGGAGUCAUGAAUGCAUGAACAAUAAAUAAAGCUGGGUAAGUAAGCAACUAUCAACAUCUACAACAACUAUCACAGUAAGCUAUAAACAUGCUACUAGGUAAGCAAACAAGCUGAUAUGAACAAUGAAUAGCUUCUAUGAACAUCAAUCAUGGGUAAGACUCAAUGGGUAACCCAAUCCUCAAGCGAACACAAGGUUCACAAGCAAUGCUCACAUAUCAAUCUCCUAGGGAUGCCAAGCUGGUCGAUCCCCGAGUAAGCCUGCGGAUAACAAGCGGCUAUCCGAGCAGCGAGCACGGCUGCCUCUCUAGUGACCAAACUCCGGAGCGCACAACUUGAGGGGAGCGACCCCACCAAGCGCAGACAGGCAAUGUGAGCAAGAUCAUCUCACGAGCAACAACAACCCUUUGAGGGUAAUAUCAUC
Molecule: long non-coding RNA, 9942 nt
Filed under: Ananas comosus (pineapple)
Lineage: Eukaryota; Viridiplantae; Streptophyta; Magnoliopsida; Poales; Bromeliaceae
Description: long non-coding RNA (ACOM_LNC037376)
Source: RNAcentral